RNAcentral lists this ribosomal RNA (1408 nucleotides) under human gut metagenome. RNAcentral's name for it is "bacterial LSU rRNA". It matches the Rfam family "Bacterial large subunit ribosomal RNA", at positions 1100 to 2518 of the family's 2925-position model. The record is from RNAcentral.
GUUGGCUUAGAAGCAGCCACUCAUUUAAAGAGUGCGUAAUAGCUCACUAGUCGAGAGAUCCUGCGCCGAAAAUGUACCGGGGCUAAACUUACCACCGAAGCUACGGAUUUGCAAGUAAUUGCAAGUGGUAGGGGAGCGUCGUAAUCGGGCUGAAGUCGUACCGGAAGGAGCGGUGGACUGAUUACGAGUGAGAAUGUUGGCAUUAGUAGCGAGAUGUAGGUGAGAAUCCUACAGGCCGAAUAUCUAAGGUUUCCUCAGGAAGGCUCGUCCGCUGAGGGUUAGUCGGGACCUAAGCCGAGGCCGAAAGGCGUAGGCGAUGGACAAUCGGUUGAUAUUCCGAUACCACUACCAUCGUUAUUAUCGAGGGUGUGACGGAGAAGGAUAGUGUGUGCUAGCGAUUGGAAAUGCUAGUCUAAGCGUUUAGGGAGUUACGGUAGGCAAAUCCGCUGUAACAAUUCUGAGGCGUGAUGGGGAAGGUCAUUAAGACCGAAGUACAUGAUUCCAUGCUUCCAAGAAAAGCAUCUAGAGAGAGAAGUAGUGCCCGUACCGCAAACCGACACAGGUAGAUGAGGAGAGAAUCCUAAGGCCGGCGGAAGAAUUGCAGUUAAGGAACUAGGCAAAUUGACCCCGUAAGUUCGCGAGAAGGGGUGCCUGCGAGAGCAGGCCGCAGAGAAUAGGCCCAAGCAACUGUUUAGCAAAAACACAGGUCUCUGCUAAAGCGUAAGCUGAUGUAUAGGGGCUGACGCCUGCCCGGUGCUGGAAGGUUAAGGGGAACACUUAGCGCAAGCGAAGGUGUGAACUUAAGCCCCAGUAAACGGCGGCCGUAACUAUAACGGUCCUAAGGUAGCGAAAUUCCUUGUCAGGUAAGUUCUGACCCGCACGAAUGGCGUAAUGAUUUGGGCACUGUCUCAACAGCCCGCCCGGCGAAAUUGUAGUACUGGUGAAGAUGCCAGUUACCCGCAACUAGACGGAAAGACCCCAUGGAGCUUUACUGCAGCUUAAUACUGAAAUUCGGUAGUACAUGUACAGGAUAGGUGGGAGACUGAGAAAUACAGGCGUCAGCUUGUAUGGAGUCGCUGUUGGGAUACCACUCUUGUACUGCUGGGUUUCUAACCUGCGGCCGUGAAUCCGGUCGGGGGACACUGUUAGGCGGGCAGUUUGACUGGGGCGGUCGCCUCCCAAAAGGUAACGGAGGCGCUCAAAGGUUCGUUCAGCACGGACGGAAAUCGUGCAAUGAGUGUAAACGCAUAAACGAGCCUAACUGCGACACCGACGGGUGGAGCAGUAACGAAAGUUGGAGUUAGUGAUCCGGUGGUAUGUGAGUGGAAAUGCCAUCGCUCAACGGAUAAAAGUUACCCUGGGGAUAACAGGCUGAUCUCCCCCAAGAGUCCACAUCGACGGGGAGGUU